ACGGGAGUCUUUCAAUGGUAGGAAAGCGGUCUCCAAAACCGUCAAUGAGGGUUCGAUUCCUUCCUCCCGUGCUA
This 74-nucleotide transfer RNA is filed under the name Bacteroidales bacterium. Its description in RNAcentral is "tRNA-Trp". It matches the Rfam family "tRNA". From Rfam's summary of the family: Transfer RNA (tRNA) molecules are approximately 80 nucleotides in length. Their secondary structure includes four short double-helical elements and three loops (D, anti-codon, and T loops). Further hydrogen bonds mediate the characteristic L-shaped molecular structure. tRNAs have two regions of fundamental functional importance: the anti-codon, which is responsible for specific mRNA codon recognition, and the 3' end, to which the tRNAs corresponding amino acid is attached (by aminoacyl-tRNA synthetases). tRNAs cope with the degeneracy of the genetic code in two manners: having more than one tRNA (with a specific anti-codon) for a particular amino acid; and 'wobble' base-pairing, i.e. permitting non-standard base-pairing at the 3rd anti-codon position. The record is from RNAcentral. Lineage: Bacteria; Pseudomonadati; Bacteroidota; Bacteroidia; Bacteroidales.